Molecule: ribosomal RNA, 377 nt
Filed under: uncultured bacterium
Lineage: Bacteria
Description: bacterial SSU rRNA
Rfam family: Bacterial small subunit ribosomal RNA
Source: RNAcentral
UAAUACAGAGGUGGCAAGCGUUGUUCGGAAUUACUGGGCGUAAAGGGCGCGUAGGCGGCCGCCUAAGUCGGACGUGAAAUCCCCAAGCUUAACUUGGGAACUGCGUCUGAUACUGGGCGGCUUGAGUUCGGGAGAGGAAUGUGGAAUUCCAGGUGUAGCGGUGAAAUGCGUAGAUAUCUGGAGGAACACCGGUGGCGAAGGCGGCAUUCUGGACCGAAACUGACGCUGAUGCGCGAAAGCCAGGGGAGCAAACGGGAUUAGAUACCCCGGUAGUCCUGGCCCUAAACGAUGAGUGCUUGGUGUGGUGGGUAUCGAUCCCUGCCGUGCCGAAGCUAACGCAUUAAGCACUCCGCCUGGGGAGUACGGUCGCAAGGCUG